AGAAAAUAGAUACCCUGGUAGUCCUAGCCCUAAACGGUGCGUGUUUGCUGUAAAAGGAAUCGACCCCUUUUGUGGCGAAAGCUAAACGCGUUAAAAACACGCCGCCUGGGGAGUACGGUCGCAAGAUUAAAACUCAAAGAAAUUGACGGGGCCUGCACAAGCGGUGGAGUAUGUGGCUUAAUUCGAUGCAACGCGAAGAACCUUACCUGGCCUUGACAUGCAAGUGGUAGAACCAUGAAAGUGGGACGAUCCCGCAAGGGAAGCUUGCACAGGUGCUGCAUGGCUGUCGUCAGCUCGUGUCGUGAGAUGUUGGGUUAAGUCCCGCAACGAGCGCAACCCUUGUGCCCUGUUGCCACUUCCUCGAGAGAGGAAAGCGCUCUGGACAGACUGCCUCGCUUAAACGGGGAGAAGGUGGGAUGACGUCAAGUCAGUAUGGCCCUUACGGCCAGGGCUGCACACGUACUACAAUGCCUUACACAAAGGGAAGCAAGACCGUCAGGUGGAGCAAAUCCCAGAAAAUAAGGCCCAGUUCAGAUUGUCGU
RNAcentral lists this ribosomal RNA (542 nucleotides) under uncultured bacterium. Its description in RNAcentral is "bacterial SSU rRNA". It matches the Rfam family "Bacterial small subunit ribosomal RNA", at positions 774 to 1304 of the family's 1533-position model. The record is from RNAcentral.